Molecule: ribosomal RNA, 324 nt
Filed under: uncultured eukaryote
Lineage: Eukaryota
Description: partial 18S ribosomal RNA
Rfam family: Eukaryotic small subunit ribosomal RNA
Source: RNAcentral
CCCUUAGAUGCCCUGGGCUGCACGCGCGCUACACUGAUGUGUCCAGUAAGCACCUAACCUCUUCCGAAAGGAACGGGUAACCUUUGCAAAGCACAUCGUGAUGGGGAUAGAUUAUUGCAAUUAUUAGUCUUGAACGAGGAAUUCCUAGUAAGCACAAGUCAUCAGCUUGUGUUGAUUACGUCCCUGCCCUUUGUACACACCGCCCGUCGCUCCUACCGAUUGAAUGUUCCGGUGAGCUCUUCGGGCUGCGCGGUCUGCAGUUUCUGCGUUCCGUGCGGAAAGUUGCGCAAACCUUAACAUUUAGAGGAAGGAGAAGUCGUAACA